AGAUGCAAUUUGAGCGCGUCGAUCGUCGAUGAUCGUCACAACUAUAUGGCGGUCGAAUGGACUCGUCCAAUAUGGCUGCCGCUAUGCGAGCGGCGAUCGUUGACACGUAAUAACAACGACGACGACACGUCGACGAUGACGACGAGGCAACAGCAACAAGGCCACACCACCGAAUAAUAAUAAUUGACAUUUUACACGUGUUUUUUUACGUUAAAAUUUGAUACGAUUGAAAAUAAAACGAAUAAGUAUUUUGAUUGAGUAAAAAUUAACGGUUCCAACAGUAAGGGAUCAGUCUGAAAGAGAACACCGUACAAUUCGACGACGACGCAGCAACAACAAUGGCGACCGUGAAUUGGUGCGUCACUCUUGUAUGUGUGUAAUGCGCUCGCUCGCUCGCGCGCAUCCACCCGCUUCUAGUUUGUUCUUCGCGACUCGUGUAUGUCUCUUUCAUCGGUGUGGGUGUAUACCGGCCACCUCCUCGCCUCGUGGUUUUUCUCUUUCUUUCUUUUCUUUUUUUUUUCUUUUUCUUUUUCUCUUUCUCUUUUUUACCGUUCUCGAUAUAAUUGAUUUAUAUAAUACUACGCGACCGCACCGAAACGCAUACGUACAAAAAAAAUGAUUAAACAAGAAAAAAAGUAAUAUGUAAAAUCGAAAAGACUUAUUUAUAAUAGAUCGAUAAGAAAGAUGUUUUCAAAAAGAAGAUUAAAAGUUUUUGAAGUUCACGACAUGGACUACGACGUGAAACGCGACGAUGGUUGGGUCGCAGGAGCGGACACUGUUAUGGUUAGCUGGUUCGAAAAGAAGGGCUGUAUUACGUAUUCCAUUCUGUCUAACAUGACAUACAAAUACUCUCCAAGUUGUAACACUCUAACCAUAUCGCGGGAAUUAUAAGACAUAAUUUCAAACUAUUUGAACGGUAUCUUGUUUUUUGAACUAUCGCUGCAAUUAAAUGAAAUAAAAACAAAAGAAAAUAUUAUAUACUAUUAACAUAAAUAACAUUGUUACAAAAUAUGUUACUAAUUUUAAUAGAUAUAUUUUAAAUAAUUAAUUUACCAAAAAAAAAUGUAGGAACGUUUGACGUGAUUUUUGUACUAUAUUUGUUAAGGUUAAUAAAUAAAUAUUUUUAAAACAUA
This is a long non-coding RNA of Polistes canadensis, 1133 nucleotides long. RefSeq lists it as uncharacterized. Lineage: Eukaryota; Metazoa; Arthropoda; Insecta; Hymenoptera; Vespidae. The transcript has 3 exons. The record is from RefSeq and is a predicted model, not a curated record.